UACAAAGAGAAGCGACCUCGCGAGAGCAAGCGGACCUCAUAAAGUGCGUCGUAGUCCGGAUUGGAGUCUGCAACUCGACUCCAUGAAGUCGGAAUCGCUAGUAAUCGUAGAUCAGAAUGCUACGGUGAAUACGUUCCCGGGCCUUGUACACACCGCCCGUCACACCAUGGGAGUGGGUUGCAAAAGAAGUAGGUAGCUUAACCUCCGGGAGGGCGCUUACCACUUUGUGAUUCAUGACUGGGGUGAAGUCGUAACAAGGUAACCAAGGGCGAAUUCUG
RNAcentral lists this ribosomal RNA (278 nucleotides) under uncultured Pantoea sp. Its description in RNAcentral is "partial 16S ribosomal RNA". It matches the Rfam family "Bacterial small subunit ribosomal RNA", at positions 1238 to 1515 of the family's 1533-position model. Lineage: Bacteria; Pseudomonadati; Pseudomonadota; Gammaproteobacteria; Enterobacterales; Erwiniaceae. The record is from RNAcentral.